UAGGGAAUAUUGCAAAAUGGGCGAAAGCCCGAUGCAGCAACGCCGCGUGGGCGAUGAAGGCCUUCGGGUCGUAAAGCCCUUUUUGAGGGGAUGAGGAAGGACAGUACCCUCAGAAUAAGCCUCGGCUAACUACGUGCCAGCAGCCGCGGUAAAACGUAGGAGGCGAGCGUUAUCCGGAUUUACUGGGCGUAAAGCGCGUGCAGGCGGAUUGGCGAGUUGGAUGUGAAAGCUCCCGGCUUAACUGGGAGAGGUCGUUCAAUACUUCCAGUCUUGAGUGCAGUAGAGGGAAGUGGAAUUCCGGGUGUAGUGGUGAAAUGCGUAGAUAUCCGGAGGAACACCAGUGGCGAAAGCGGCUUCCUGGACUGUAACUGACGCUCAGACGCGAAAGCUAGGGUAGCAAACG
Molecule: ribosomal RNA, 403 nt
Filed under: uncultured bacterium
Lineage: Bacteria
Description: bacterial SSU rRNA
Rfam family: Bacterial small subunit ribosomal RNA
Source: RNAcentral